GACGAACGCUGGCGGCGUGCUUAACACAUGCAAGUCGAACGGAAAGGCCCUGCUUUUGUGGGGUGCUCGAGUGGCGAACGGGUGAGUAACACGUGAGUAACCUGCCCUUGACUUUGGGAUAACUUCAGGAAGCUGGGGCUAAUACCGGAUAGGAGCUCCUGCUGCAUGGUGGGGGUUGGAAAGUUUCGGCGGUUGGGGAUGGACUCGCGGCUUAUCAGCUUGUUGGUGGGGUAGUGGCUUACCAAGGCUUUGACGGGUAGCCGGCCUGAGAGGGUGACCGGCCACGUUGGGACUGAGAUACGGCCCAGACUCCUACGGGAGGCAGCAGUGGGGAAUAUUGCACAAUGGGCGGAAGCCUGAUGCAGCAACGCCGCGUGCGGGAUGACGGCCUUCGGGUUGUAUACCGCUUUCGCCUGUGACGAAGCGUGAGUGACGGUAAUGGGUAAAGAAGCACCGGCUAACUACGUG
Molecule: ribosomal RNA, 468 nt
Filed under: uncultured bacterium
Lineage: Bacteria
Description: partial 16S ribosomal RNA
Rfam family: Bacterial small subunit ribosomal RNA
Source: RNAcentral